RNAcentral lists this long non-coding RNA (1302 nucleotides) under Phasianus colchicus (ring-necked pheasant). RNAcentral describes it as "lncRNA (ENSPCLG00000001602.1)". Lineage: Eukaryota; Metazoa; Chordata; Aves; Galliformes; Phasianidae. The record is from RNAcentral.
AUGAAUGGGGCGCACGGAGCCGGGUCCCGUGUGGGAGCGGGCAGCCCCCGCCCGGCGCUGUUUACAUCGCGGAUCCCCCGAGGGGGGAUUCCCCCUCCCCGCCGCCCGCUCCGUAUCGAUCUCACAGGGAGCAGCCCAGCUGCUGCAAUGCAACACGCGCCGGGAAGGGGCAGAGAGAGAAAGAGGGGGGUGGGAGGGAGGGAAGAAAAAAAAAAAAAAAAGAACGAAGAAAAAGAACGGAGCAAGAAAGGCGGCGGGCCGCCGUGCGGGCACACCUCCGCCGCGGGAAGGGGCUCCGGCCGCACCCCGCCCGGCCCCGCCGCCGCCCCCAGGCCCCUCAACUUCGCCGCCGCGGGGGCCGGGGCCGCCCCUCCCCCUCCGCCGCCGCUAACAAUGGGCCCCUCCCCCGCGGGGCUCCCCUCGGCCCGCCGCCCUCCCCCCGCCCCAGCCCCCCGCCCCGGCCCCGCGCCGGCCGCUUCGGAGGGGGCCCCGCCGCCCCCCCGCCCGGCCCCGGCCCCCCCACCUCAUGGUGCCGCCCGGCGCCGGGAGCCGCUCCCGCUGCCUCGUUCAGCUCCGCGCUCUCCGCCGCCCCGCCGCGCUCUCUCCUCGCCGCUCCGCGCCGCUCCGCUCGCCGCCGCUCCCUCCGCGGGGGCCGGCGCCUCAACGGACAGCGAGAGCUCCGGCAGCCGGCGCCUCCCGCCCGCCCGUCUCCGCCGCUCCCUCCGCCGCCGGGCCGGGCCAGACCACCGCGGGGCGCCGGGGGUGGGAGGGGACGGAGAGGUGGGGGAAAGGGGCGGAGAGGAGCGAACCAACGCGCGGGAAGGGCGGGGGGAGGAGGGGAGGAGGGCGGGAGCGCGGGGGAGGCCGGAGACACCGGCGGGGCCGCGGGAGGGCGGGGCGAGGGCGGGCACGCCCACCACGGUGAGGGGCGCCGGCACCGGGGGCCGUGCGCCUCCUAUCGCCGGGGGGCGCGGGGAGUGCGCCCAGGUGAGGUGCUGGGGGCCUCGUCCUGAGGCUGGACCUGCGCCGCCCGUGGCCUGCGCGCACGGCACCGACGUGCCCCGGGCCCGGCACUGCCGCCGGGAGGGGAGAAGAGAGGAGAGGGGACGGGAGGACUCGUCCCGCUCUGCUCCGCGCUGUGCUGCCUCACCUCCUGCACUGGGUGCAGGCUGCGUGCCACGACGUAAAACAGACACCGUUGUGUUACAGGGCAUCCAAAAGAGGGCAACAAAGAUGGGGAAGGGUGUGAAGGCAACGUGUGUGAGGCCCCUGGGUUUGUUGUGCCCAGAGCAGAGGAGCUGA